UUCUCGUUAGAUCACCGAAGUCAAGCAUCAUUGGGCGCGGUCAGUACUUGGGUGGGUGACCACCUGGGAACACCGCGUGCAGU
Molecule: non-coding RNA, 83 nt
Organism: Caerostris darwini
Lineage: Eukaryota; Metazoa; Arthropoda; Arachnida; Araneae; Araneidae
Source: the annotation of a GenBank genome assembly